UCCCAGGGUAGCCUAGUGGACAUGGCAUCUGCCUGGUAUGCGGAACACUGUGGGUUCGAUUCCCAUCACUGGAC
This 74-nucleotide transfer RNA is filed under the name Cordylochernes scorpioides. Its description in RNAcentral is "tRNA-Thr". It matches the Rfam family "tRNA". Rfam says of the family: Transfer RNA (tRNA) molecules are approximately 80 nucleotides in length. Their secondary structure includes four short double-helical elements and three loops (D, anti-codon, and T loops). The record is from RNAcentral. Lineage: Eukaryota; Metazoa; Arthropoda; Arachnida; Pseudoscorpiones; Chernetidae.